AAGCACGGCUUCGCAGAUGCACACGGGGAGCCAGCUCCCAUGGAUGCUGCGAGGAAAGUCCCCGUGCCUUGCUGCAGAGAGUGCGAGUGGGAGACCGCAGGGCUCGUGCCAGUCCUCCAGUGGUGAUGCUUCUCGCGGAGCCUUGGUGGCGGGCUCGGGCCCUUCGCAGCAGCACAGACAUGCCGUGAGCGCUCGAGAUUGGAGCGCUAACAGAACGGGGCUCACUCUCC
RNAcentral lists this RNase MRP RNA (230 nucleotides) under Apocalathium aciculiferum. RNAcentral's name for it is "partial RNase MRP". It matches the Rfam family "RNase MRP". From Rfam's summary of the family: RNase MRP is an enzymatically active ribonucleoprotein with two distinct roles in eukaryotes. The record is from RNAcentral. Lineage: Eukaryota; Dinophyceae; Thoracosphaerales; Thoracosphaeraceae.